AACGAACGCUGGCGGCAGGCCUAACACAUGCAAGUCGAGCGGACCUUUCGGGGUCAGCGGCGGACGGGUGAGUAACGCGUGGGAAUAUGCCCUUCUCUACGGAAUAGUCCUGGGAAACUGGGGGUAAUACCGUAUACGCCCUUUGGGGGAAAGAUUUAUCGGGGAAGGAUUAGCCCGCGUUGGAUUAGGUAGUUGGUGUGGUAAUGGCCUACCAAGCCGACGAUCCAUAGCUGGUUUGAGAGGAUGAUCAGCCACACUGGGACUGAGACACGGCCCAGACUCCUACGGGAGGCAGCAGUGGGGAAUCUUAGACAAUGGGGGCAACCCUGAUCUAGCCAUGCCGCGUGAGUGAUGAAGGCCUUAGGGUUGUAAAGCUCUUUCAGCUGGGAAGAUAAUGACGGUACCAGCAGAAGAAGCCCCGGCUAACUCCGUG
RNAcentral lists this ribosomal RNA (433 nucleotides) under uncultured bacterium. RNAcentral's name for it is "partial 16S ribosomal RNA". It matches the Rfam family "Bacterial small subunit ribosomal RNA", at positions 29 to 507 of the family's 1533-position model. The record is from RNAcentral.